RNAcentral lists this ribosomal RNA (2874 nucleotides) under Triticum aestivum (bread wheat). RNAcentral's name for it is "partial small subunit ribosomal RNA". Lineage: Eukaryota; Viridiplantae; Streptophyta; Magnoliopsida; Poales; Poaceae. The record is from RNAcentral.
AUGAGGCGCUGCAGGGGAGAAUGGCUCCCCGCGCCGUGCAUCAUCUCCGUGCUGCUCUUCCUACCAAUGGCCUGCGGACGAUUGCUCAUUGGCCCAAGCGACACGUCGCCGCCACCUGCGCUGACACCAACCUUCAUCAAGCAAGUUGACGAUUGGGUGGAACACGCGUGGCUCAAAUGUGGAUUGGACAAGAAAAGCCUUCAAGAUGUUAGAAACUACUACGACUACAACCAUGUACUUGAUAUCAUCCAUAGGAUAUCUGAUAAUAAGGGAACUUCCCCUGUCAUUGGAAAAGGUGCAGGCCCACUGACACCAGAUAUCAAGCAAACUUUGCUGACCUGCUUAAGCAAACAGAAUUUUGAGGUUCCAAAAAACCUACCCGAUGGUUAUAUCGAAACACUUAUCGCCUCAAUAAGAGAAGAGCUGACUCCGGGACCUGCUCCUGCAAAUGAAGCAGUAAAACCUCCGCCAGGGAAACCAGCUGACGGUUCUUCAUCAGAAGCAACUACAAAAAAGGCAGUGCCUGCAACUAAAUCAGUGGGGAAAAAAGACAGCGAUGGCAUGCCAACUACCACUAUCGUUGGUGUGUCCCUGGUUGUUAUCGCACUUUUAGCUCUUCUCUGCGUUGGCUGCUGCAUGUUCCGUGAAAGUUCUGCGGCUUCUGCCUAUGAUAAUAAGCAACUCCUGAAUCUAUCGGAUUCUUGCAAGUCUUCCAGUGUAAAUCUAAUAGAUGUCACUAAGCUGGGAGCAUUGCCAUUGCAGUCAGAGGCUGGCCAAAAUGGCCAUGUGAAUCAAAGUUCACAGGAAGGCCCAAACACUGAUCAAGUUGGCUAUGUGAGACUAAGUUCACAGGAAGGCCCAAACACUGAUCAAAAUAACCAUGUGAAACUAAGCUCACAGGAAGACGCAAACACUGAUCAAAUUAGCUAUGUGAAACUAAGCUCACAGGAAGACCCAACCAGUGGUCGAAAUAGUGAUGUGAAGCUAACUUCGCAGGAAGACCCAAACACUGGCCAAAAUAACCAUGUGAAGCUCACUUCACAGGAAAGUGCAAACACUGAUCCAGCAAUCUACAGCAGUUCCGCCGAGCCAAUGGCUGCUUCUGUUGAUUCUGAGCAAGGAUCAACACCAAUGCCUCAACCAAUGAUGCCACCUCCAGCACAUCCUCAAGUACUUGCGCCUCAACCAAAGGCUCCUCCUUCACCACCAGCUCCUCAAGCACUUGAGCUGCCUCCGAAUGCUUCUCCAGUUCUUUCCUCUGGACCUUCACCGCCACCAGCUCCAAAAGCCUCCCCGCCUCCGCCCUCAGGACCCUCACCACCUACUGCUCCAAAAGCUGCACCACCACCACCACCACCAUCAAAAUCUGGUGGACCUCUCCCGCCACCACCAGCGCUGCCUGGUUCUUCCAAAACGCGCCCACCACCACUUAUGAAGUCAGGCAAUAAAACAGACACAGAUGAGGAUUCUAGUGAAGCUAAAACAAAGCUUAAGCCCUUCUUUUGGGAUAAAGUAGCAACAAAUGCUAAUAAAUCAAUGGUGUGGGAUCACCUUAAAGCUGGAUCAUUCCAGUUAAGUGAGGACGCUAUUGAAACACUUUUUGGUUGUAAUGCUGACAAGAAGAGUGGUGAUGCCAAAAAAGAUAUAGCAUCAAAGGAAGCUGCCCAAGUUGUGAGGAUACUUGAUCCUAAAAAGGCACAGAACCUGGCCAUAUCAUUGAAGGCGUUGAGUGUUUCAGCAGAGGAAGUUUCUUGUGCAGUUAAGGAAGGAAAUGAACUUCCAUCCGACUUGAUACAGACCUUAAUUAGAUGGGUCCCGAGUACUGAUGAGGAGCUCAGGCUUCGACUAUAUACUGGGGAACUCUCACAGCUUGGUCCUGCAGAGCAGUUCUUAAAAGCAAUCUUCGACAUUCCUUAUAUCUAUGAGCGCCUGGACGCAUUACUUUUCAUGGCUGGUUUACCAGAGGAAACUUCAAAUGUAAAGCAAUCUUUUGCCACCUUAGAGAUGGCUUGUGAGGAGCUUAAAAACAGCCGUCUAUUCUUGAAGUUACUAGAAGCUGUACUUAAAACAGGGAAUCGGAUGAAUGUUGGCACGUUCAGAGGAGGAGCUCAAGCGUUCAAACUAGACACCCUGCUCAAGCUUUCCGACGUCAAAGGAACUGAUGGGAAGAUAACGCUGCUGCAUUUUGUUGUUCAAGAGAUGAUCCAUUCUGAAGGUGUCCGUUCUGCACGGGCUGCAAAGGAGCAGACGGGCAGCGUAUCCAGUGUGGACAACAAUGAUCUUAUUGAAGAGGAAUAUAAACAACUAGGUCUGCAGGCUGUGUCCAGUUUAGGAGAUGAACUUCAAAAUGUCAGGAAUGCAGCAAUCCUUGAUGCAGAUCAGUUGGCUAUGUCGGUAGCAAGUGUCGUCCACAGGCUUGGCAAAACCAAAGAAUUCUUGAACACAAGCAUGAAAAGUCUGGAUGAAGAUAGUGGGUUUCACCGCAAGCUUGUGCAUUUCGUGGAGCAGUCUCAAACUGAUGUUACUUUCUUGCUAGAGGAAGAGAAGAAAAUACGGUCCUUGGUAAAGAGCACUGUCGAUUAUUUCCAUGGGAGGACAGGGAAGGAUGAGGGCCUUCGGUUAUUUGUCGUAGUGCGGGAUUUUCUCGCAAUGCUUGACAAGGUCUGCAAUGAGGUGAAAGAAGCAUCAAAAGUAACUCCAAAGAAAACGAAGACUGAAGUUACUCUGCCUUCCCACACACCCAGGUCUUUUCAAGAUCCCCGGCGUAGUUCCCACACACCCAGGUCUUCUCAAGAUCCCCGGCAUAACCUUUUUCCGGCAAUUCAAAACCGGAGGGCAGAUAGUUCAAGCUCUAGUUCUGAGGAGGGAAGUUAA